RNAcentral lists this unclassified non-coding RNA (204 nucleotides) under Phomopsis sp. MAFF 665006. RNAcentral's name for it is "partial ITS2". The record is from RNAcentral. Lineage: Eukaryota; Fungi; Ascomycota; Sordariomycetes; Diaporthales; Diaporthaceae.
UCAACCCUCAAGCCUGGCUUGGUGAUGGGGCACUGCUUUUACCCAAAAGCAGGCCCUGAAAUUCAGUGGCGAGCUCGCCAGGACCCCGAGCGCAGUAGUUAAACCCUCGCUCUGGAAGGCCCUGGCGGUGCCCUGCCGUUAAACCCCCAACUUCUGAAAAUUUGACCUCGGAUCAGGUAGGAAUACCCGCUGAACUUAAGCAUA